Molecule: ribosomal RNA, 159 nt
Filed under: Catenarina vivasiana
Lineage: Eukaryota; Fungi; Ascomycota; Lecanoromycetes; Teloschistales; Teloschistaceae
Description: 5.8S ribosomal RNA
Rfam family: 5.8S ribosomal RNA
About the family: 5.8S ribosomal RNA (5.8S rRNA) is a component of the large subunit of the eukaryotic ribosome. It is transcribed by RNA polymerase I as part of the 45S precursor that also contains 18S and 28S rRNA. Functionally, it is thought that 5.8S rRNA may be involved in ribosome translocation.
Source: RNAcentral
AAAACUUUCAACAACGGAUCUNUUGGUUCUGGCAUCGAUGAAGAACGCAGCGAAAUGCGAUAAGUAAUGUGAAUUGCAGAAUUCAGUGAAUCAUCGAAUCUUUGAACGCACAUUGCGCCCCUUGGUAUUCCGAGGGGCAUGCCUGUUCGAGCGUCAUUA